RNAcentral lists this ribosomal RNA (253 nucleotides) under uncultured bacterium. RNAcentral's name for it is "partial 16S ribosomal RNA". It matches the Rfam family "Bacterial small subunit ribosomal RNA", at positions 524 to 776 of the family's 1533-position model. The record is from RNAcentral.
UACGUAGGGGGCAAGCGUUGUCCGGAAUCAUUGGGCGUAAAGAGCGUGUAGGCGGCUUGGCAAGUCUGGUGUGAAAUCUUGCGGAUCAACCGCAAGCGGUCACUGGAAACUGCCUCGCUAGAGUCCGGAAGAGGAGAGCGGAAUUCCUGGUGUAGCGGUGGAAUGCGCAGAUAUCAGGAAGAACACCCGUGGCGAAGGCGGCUCUCUGGGACGGUACUGACGCUGAGACGCGAAAGCGUGGGGAGCGAACAGG